Molecule: long non-coding RNA, 5078 nt
Organism: Grus americana (Whooping crane)
Lineage: Eukaryota; Metazoa; Chordata; Aves; Gruiformes; Gruidae
Exons: 3
Source: RefSeq, a predicted model, not a curated record
UUGCAUGCGCUGAUUGGCUGGUGCAGAAGAGGCGGUAAGCUGAGGGGGCCCUGAACUGGGAGCCGGCCCCAACCCAGUGCAGGGCGUGAAGUGGGAGCUGGCCUGAAAGUGGGAAAGGGCGUUAAACUGGAACGGAACCUCAUCUGGGCCAGGUGCUGAGUGAAAGUGGGCUGGAGCCUUGAAGUGGCUGGGAUGUUAAGUGGUACAGAGUCUGGGCUGGGCCUAGAGGCCUGGCCUGAGUUGUGACUUGAAGUGGUGCAGAGCCCUAAACUGGAAGAGCUGUCAGCUGGGCUGAGUCCUGAACUGGGCCAGGAGCUGAGCUGGGACCUGAGCCUAAACUGGGCUGGGACCUGAACUGGGACUGUUGAGAAAUUCUUUUACCAAACAAUGAUUAGCUUUGAAUGUAACAAGGCCUAUGAGUAAUUAACGUGCACGGAGAAGGUAUCCUGACCUUGAGAACAGAAACCUCCUGGCAGGAUUGCCCAAACAGGGUUGAUGAGGAAGAACAGCUUGGCCGGGCAACAGAGUUGGGAAACCUGCAAGGACAAGAAAUUGUCCUCAAGAGCAUAAAAGGGAAAAAGGAGUGGGGGGCUAACUCCCCAAACGACCACCGACGACCACGCGAGACCCCCACGCAUGCGCAGUGUAGUUUUGCAACGCCAGCGUUAUGUAAAUGUAGUAGGCAGAGAGGUGGAGAUUUCUCGUAAAAUGUAUGACUAUUCUUGUCUUAAGGUAUAUAAAGGACGAACUUUUGGUUUAGGGUAUGCACAACAGGCGGAGCUAUCCCCCGUGCAUCCGGUGCUGUAAUAAACAACGCCUGCUUUCUAAUACUAAAACGGAGUACUGGAGAGUUUAUUAUCCCAUAUUUGGUGACAGUUUCUGGUGACCCAGGUGGGACACUGCUUCUGAAUCUCGACGGAUCCACGGAAUCAUGGGACCUCUAACCGGCACCGAGGGAUUCUUGGGGAGAACCUGCGAUCCCCGGACCGAAGAGCUCCUAGCAAGACCCCCGGGAAGGACCCAGUGCAAACGGAACCGGAAAUUCUGCAGGAAAUAAAGGACGCAGUAGUCCCAUUGGUAUGGGCCAGUGGAACUCCGGGAAGGUCAUGAGCUGUGGAACCAGUAAAGAUUCGGUUAAAGCCGGGAGCUAAACCGGUUUCACAUGACUCUGGGAGUCCUCGACCAGCGUUUGGGACCCUGGAAGAGACUGGUGGGAUACUUUUCCAAACAGCUGGAUGACGUGAGUAAAGGCUGGCCGUCCUGCCUCCGGGCUGUAGCGGCGACGGUAUUGCUGAUUCAAGUGGCCCGGAAGUUCGCUAUGGGGUAACGGAUGACCGUGUACGUGCCCCGUAUGCUGACAGCAGUACUGGAGCAAAAGGAAAUCACUGGUUAUCACCGAGCAGAACGAUGAAAUAUCAAGCCAUCUUAUUGGAGAUGGAUGAUGGGAACCUAAAGGUAACAUCUAUGCUUAAUCUUGCAUUAUUUCUAUCCACCUUUUUGGAAGAUAGUGGGGAAAUAGAACGUGACUGUUUGCAAACAAUCGAACAGGUCUACUCUAGCCGAGAGGACCUGAAGGAUACCCCACUUGAACACCCUGGCUGGGAAUUCUAUACAGAUGGAAGCAGUUACAUGGAAAAAGGAAGACGGUUGGCAGGUUAUGUGGUGCUUUUACAGGAAAAGGUGAUUGAAGCAAAGGCUCUUCCACCUAACACCUCAGCACAGAAGGCGGAAUUAGUGGCACUAGAAAGGGCAUUAACACUCUCUCAAGGAAAGUGAGUAAAUAUUUGAACAGACCCCAAGUAUGCCUUUGGAGUGGUGCACGCUCAUGGAGCUCUCUGGAAAGAGAGAGGUUUAUCGUCAGCUCAAGGGUCCCCAUUAAAUACGGAGAAACUAUUGCAAAGCUCUUGGAGAGUGUCCAGUUACCGGCAGAGGUUGCAGUGAUGCACUGUAAGGCUCAUCAAUUCGGAAAUACCAAAAUCAAUGUGGGAAACAGGUUGGUGGAUCAGGCAGCUAAGGAAGCAGCUAAGGAAGCAGCUAAGGGGCGGGGGGGGGGGGGGCAUCUUUUGAUUGUCCCUAACAAACACAUUAACCUUCCCAAGGAUAGGCCGCAAUAUCAGGCAAAAUUUUAGACGGCCACCUAUGGGAGUCAUUGGAAAAGGGAAUAGUCCAGGAGAUUACUGGCAAAUAGAUUUUCUCUGAAUUGCCCCGUCACAGUGGUUACCGAUAUUUAUUAGUGCUAGUGGACACCUUUUCUGGAUGGCCGGAGGCUUUUCCCUGUUGCACCAACAAGGCUAGAGAAGUGGUAAAGGUAUUAAUGAAAGAAAUAAUUCCCAGAUUUGGAGUACCAAUAGGAAUGUCCUCUGAUAGGGGUCCCCGCUUUGUGGCCGAAAUCCUUCAAAAUUUGGCUCAUGUAUUAGGGAUACAGUGGGACCUGCACACUCCAUGGAGGCCACAAUCUAGUGGAAAGGUAGAAAGAAUGAAUCAGAGUUUGAAGAGAGAGAUAAGCAGGAUCUGUCAAGAAACUCGACUCCAAUGGCCCCAGGCCCUUCCACUAGCUUUGCUGAGAAUCAGAAUUAGACCCUCUUCUAAAGAGCAACUUAGUCCAUACGAGAUACUGUACGGAAAACCUUAUCAAGUGAUAAACUAUCCUGGAGAUUGGCAGGUCAAAGGAAAUCAGGAUUUAAAAGACUGUGUGAUGAGAAUGGGAAAGAUUCCUUCCUCGUUACAUAGAUCCAUGGUUCUUACUUGACCUCUGGCUUUGGAUACACACGUUCAUCCUUAGCAGCCUGGAGACUGGGUCUAUAUCAAGGUCUGGAAGGAGGAACCCCUUUCAGCAAAGAUGGAAAGGACCUUAUCAAGUGAUGUGAACUACUUUUACUGCUGUUAAGGUUGCAGGGAAGGAGUCCUGGAUCCAUUAUACUUGAGUAAAACCAGCAUCAGAGCCAAAAGAACCUCAGUGGAAGGUCACCUCAUCAGAUAAAGAUCCUUUCUGAACAAAAAAUUCAAAAAUCAACCUGAAAAUUAGCCAGUAAGCUGUAAGUGUUUUGGUUGGAAUAGCCGUGAUGUUAACUAACUGUUGAACUAACCAGGGCACAACUCACGACAACCUUUAUGAGGAGACGAAAAUCCGAUUGACUGAAGAGCUUAACGUGACAAAUUGUUGGAUAUGCUCGCAGACAAUGUUGGGAGGAACAGCGAUCCCUUUUAGCCCGAUCCCUUUACAAUGGCCAGAAUAUUGUAUUUUGCUAAAUUGGUCUAACCAAACAAAGCUAGAACAAGAGACUGUUAUUUUAGCAGCAGAGUUAGCAAUCAGUUGUACAAUAGAGAAAAACCAUAGUGCCAUCCUGUCUGGGUUACCUAAGCAAACCUUUGAGCCUAAGGUGAAUUAGACAGACAGACAGACCUCAUGCCAUCAAAUUAGGGCGUACAAAAGAUGGAUUCCUUUGUUACAAAGCAGCCAAAGUUGAUGCAAUUGGUGGUGGUUACUCUGGUGGCUUUAAUGCAGGUAACAGUAAAUGUAAAUUUUAUCUUACAGACACUCAAGCUGUUACUGUGCCACUUAGCAUUUGAAACAGUACAACAGGAGGAAAUCUUUCUUUUUGACACUCUCCUAUUACUUGUGAAAUGUGGAAAAAUGGAACUAAAACUUGAGUAGGAGGAUUUAAUGGUACAUAUUGGAUUUGUGGAAAAAGGCGUAGCGAUGGAUACCUGGGGGAUGGUACGUAUCCUGUUAUUUAGGUUUGUUAAUGCCCCCAUUUCAAGUACUACAACAACUUCCAUCAGGGUGGCCAUGUUGGAAAAGAGAGAUAAAAGUGGAAAAUAGACUUGUUGUAACAGAAGGGGAAAAAUUUUUCUAUACGCUAUGCCCCAUGUGUGCAGCCGCGACCUAUGGAACUAAGAUAAAUCAACUUAGCAAUUUGUUGAAGGAAGUAGCUAACGACACCGUUAAGGUAUUGAACAGUACAUCUUAUGAAAUGUCCUAAAAUAGAAUGGUGAGUCUACAAAAUCAUAUGGCCCUAGAUUAUCUGUUAGCUAGUCAAGGAGGAAUUUGUGCUCUUAUGGGACAAGAAUGUUGUACAUACAUAGAUGAUGGAUGGAAGACCCAACAGAAAGGAAUCAAUUUGAUUGAGAGGGCAGUGGAAGAGUGGGAGAAAGAAGAAAAAAAAAAAUAAUUGUUUUCAGAAUCGUAGUGGAAUUGGUUAACCUCAUGGCUACCAAACCUAACCUGGCUGAAGGAAUUGUUUGUAGUAAUCACAGCUAUAGUUGUUAUACGUAUGUUACGUUGUAUCACAAUUCAAUAUUUACCCUUAAUCACAUCCUGUUGUACCCAAUUGUGUAUACCUGAGAAUCAAAAAUGAUAUUCUCAAAAUUAUGCAAUCUAGGGGAGACUCCCAAAGAGAUCUUAUUUUGGAAGUCUCAAAAGGGGGGAAAUGUUGAGAAAUUCUUUUACCAAACAACGAUUAGCUUUGAAUGUAACAAGGCCUAUGAAUAAUUAACGUGUACGGAGAAGAUCUCUUGACCUUGAGAACAGAAACCUCCUGGCAGGAUUGCCCAGACAGGGUUGAUCAGGAAGAACAGCUUGGCCGGACAACAGAGUUGGGAAACAUCCAAGGAGAAGAAACUCUCCUCAAAGACUUGUGACCAUAAAAGGGAAAAAGGAGUGGGGGGCUAACUCCCCAAACGACCACCUGAGAACCCCACGCAUGCGUAAUGUAGUUUUGCAAUGCCAGCGUUAUGUAAAUGUAGUAGAUAGGCGGAGAGGUGGAGAUUUCUCGGAAAAUGUAUGACUACUCAUGUCGUAAGGUAUAUAAAGGAUGAACUUUUAUUUUAGUGUAUGCACGAUAGGUGGAGCUAUCCCCCGUGCAUCCGGCGUCGUAAUAAAGCAAUGCCUGCUUUCUAAUACUAAAACGGAGUAUUGGAGAGUUUAUUAUCCCAUAUUUGGUGACAGGGGCAGAGUGUGAGGAGUCCUGCCCUGAGGAGGAAGGAGCAGCAGAGACAAGGGGUGAUGAAGUGACCACAGCCCCCAUUCCCCAUCCCCCUGUGGUGCUGGGGGGGAGUAGGUAGAAUUGGGGAGUGAA